This 468-nucleotide ribosomal RNA is filed under the name uncultured bacterium. Its description in RNAcentral is "partial 16S ribosomal RNA". It matches the Rfam family "Bacterial small subunit ribosomal RNA", at positions 28 to 507 of the family's 1533-position model. The record is from RNAcentral.
GACGAACGCUGGCGGCGUGCUUAACACAUGCAAGUCGAACGGAAAGGCCCUGCUUUUGUGGGGUGCUCGAGUGGCGAACGGGUGAGUAACACGUGAGUAACCUGCCCUUGACUUUGGGAUAACUUCAGGAAACUGGGGCUAAUACCGGAUAGGAGCUCCUGCUGCAUGGUGGGGGUUGGAAAGUUUCGGCGGUUGGGGAUGGACUCGCGGCUUAUCAGCUUGUUUGUGGGGUAGUGGCUUACCAAGGCUUUGACGGGUAGCCGGCCUGAGAGGGUGACCGGCCACAUUGGGACUGAGAUACGGCCCAGACUCCUACGGGCGGCAGCAGUGGGGAAUAUUGCACAAUGGGCGGAAGCCUGAUGCAGCAACGCCGCGUGCGGGAUGACGGCCUUCGGGUUGUAAACCGCUUUCGCCUGUGACGAAGCGUGAGUGACGGUAAUGGGUAAAGAAGCACCGGCUAACUACGUG